This 548-nucleotide long non-coding RNA is filed under the name Theobroma cacao (cacao). RNAcentral describes it as "long non-coding RNA (TCAC_LNC001141)". The record is from RNAcentral. Lineage: Eukaryota; Viridiplantae; Streptophyta; Magnoliopsida; Malvales; Malvaceae.
UCUAAUUCCCUUAAUGAUCCAAUUGGGGUGAUGGGGCUUUGUUAGAACCUAAAAUCACAUUAGCAUCAGCAAUAGGUCAAUUCACAUACUAUAAACCCUAAAAGUUAUCUCUUAACUAGGUUUCAAUUGCCACAUUAAAUGGCUAUCUAUAUUCACUAUCUUAAUCACUAUAAAAUGAAUGAACAUCCUCAACAAUAAAACAACUCAUAAUCUCAAUUACUAGCCAUUAUCCACAGCUAAAAAGCAAGCUUACUUCAUCACUCACCCUAGGGUUUCUUUGUAGUUGAAUUCUCUUCCAAUAGCUUCCAAACAAAUGGGAUAAUUCUCUCUUUCUCUCUCUAAAAUGCCCAACUAGUGAGAGAAAGUAUGAAAAUAAGAUUUUUCAAGGGUUUUAAGGAGAGAGAGUGGAAGAGCACAAGGGGUCUAUAAGAAGGGUGCACCAAAAGCAUGAAUUUUUGAGCUAUUUAGAGAAGAUUGUGGAGCUUUUUUGUCAAGCUUUCAUGGAGGUGGAGAAGCAACAUGAAAUGAAAGAAGAAAAAGAAGGAAAG